GUAGUUAACACCUGCAUAUUUGACGUUACCUACAGAAGAAGCACCGGCUAACUCCGUGCCAGCAGCCGCGGUAAUACGGAGGGUGCGAGCGUUAAUCGGAAUUACUGGGCGUAAAGCGCAUGCAGGCGGCCUGUUAAGUCAGAUGUGAAAGACCCGGGGCGUUAACCUCGGAAUUGCAUUUGAAACUGGCAGGCUAGAGUCUUGUAGAGGGGGGUAGGAAGUUUCAGGUGUAGCGGUGAAAUAGCGUAGAGAUCUGAAGGAAUACCAGUGGCGAAGGCGGCCCCCUCGGACAAAGACUGACGCUCAGAUGCGAAAGCGUGGGGAGCAAACAGGAUUAGAUACCCUGGUAG
This 350-nucleotide ribosomal RNA is filed under the name uncultured bacterium. RNAcentral describes it as "bacterial SSU rRNA". It matches the Rfam family "Bacterial small subunit ribosomal RNA", at positions 452 to 793 of the family's 1533-position model. The record is from RNAcentral.